GGGGCGGGAGGCGCCCACUUGUCCCCAUGGCAGCUGCGCCGGAGCCCGGCGAACCCGGGAAGGGGAAGCCCUUUAAGCUCCUAGGAAUUUUAGAUGUUGAGAACAUUCCCUGUGCACGGGACUCGGUAUUAUAUGGUUCAUUAGGAUCUGUUGUGGCUGGCCUUGGACAUUUUUUGUUAACUAGUAGAAUUAGAAGAUCAUGUGAUGUUGGAGUAGGAGGAUUUAUCGUGGUGACUUUAGGAUGCUGGUUCCAUUGUAGGUAUAAUUAUGCAAAGCUAAGAAUCCAAGAAAGAACAGCCAGAGAAGGAAUUAAAAAUAAGAUUUUAUAUGAAAGUACCCACCUUGAUCCUGAACGAAAACUAACAGCAACAGCAGCAACUGAACAGAGUAAAACAUAGAAACCCAAAUACAAUUCACGGACGUUAGUGUGAACCAAGCUGAAAUCAAUUAUGUAAAACAUUGUAUGUACCAUAAGAAGGAUUUCCAUCAAGUAAAUAAAGAUUUCACCUUGCUGCCUGGGUAUUAAGGCCAGAAGCUGGUCACAGCCUUCUAGAUCAGAGCCAGAGCCCUCCACCAAAGACUAGAUCUAUGUAACAAGAUGUAACCUACCAACAAAGAGAACUUUCUAAGUUAUGUCAGUUUGAGCUGCUUCAUCAUUUCUAUCUUGCAGCAUUUUCUUAGUUUCCUGAGUAACCUCUUUAUGUUAUACCACUGUAGCUGACCAAUCUGAUUCAAUUCCUGACUUGGUAUCUGCAACUUUCUAGUGAAAGCAUCCCUGCAACCAACUGCAAUCUCACAGGUGAGUUUUCUCUAGGUAUAGUUGGGA
Molecule: RNA transcript, 826 nt
Organism: Molossus molossus (Pallas's mastiff bat)
Lineage: Eukaryota; Metazoa; Chordata; Mammalia; Chiroptera; Molossidae
Gene name: cytochrome c oxidase assembly protein COX20, mitochondrial
Exons: 5
Source: RefSeq, a predicted model, not a curated record